RNAcentral lists this ribosomal RNA (382 nucleotides) under uncultured eukaryote. RNAcentral's name for it is "partial 18S ribosomal RNA". It matches the Rfam family "Eukaryotic small subunit ribosomal RNA", at positions 592 to 976 of the family's 1831-position model. The record is from RNAcentral.
UGUAAGCGUAUACCAAAGUUGUUGCAGUUAAAACGCUCGUAGUCGGAAUUUGGCAGUUCCGGAUGUGUGCACGUCGUGUGCGCACUUCGCGGGGAUUGCUUUUGUGGUCUUGCGUAGGAUGAGGCACUUUUAUUAGUGAACGUCCUCACGCAACCACUUUUUACUGUGAGAAAAUCAGAGUGCUCAAAGCAGGCAUUUGCCGUGAAUGUAUUAGCAUGGAAUAAUAGAAUAGGACUUGGUUCUAUUUUGUUGGUUUGUUGGGACUGAGUAAUGAUUAGGAGGGACAGUUGGGGGCAUUUGUAUUUCGGUGCUAGAGGUGAAAUUCUUAGAUUACCGAAAGACAAACUGCUGCGAAAGCGUCUGCCAAGGAUGUUUUCAUUGA